This 257-nucleotide ribosomal RNA is filed under the name uncultured prokaryote. RNAcentral describes it as "partial 16S ribosomal RNA". It matches the Rfam family "Bacterial small subunit ribosomal RNA", at positions 524 to 780 of the family's 1533-position model. The record is from RNAcentral.
UACGUAGGGAGCAAGCGUUGUCCGGAAUUACUGGGCGUAAAGGGCGCGCAGGCGGUUAUGUUAGUCUGCUGUGAAAAGCAUCGGCUUAACCGGUGUCUUGCGGCGGAUACUGCAUAGCUUGAGUACUGGAGAGGGAAGUGGAAUUCCUAGUGUAGCGGUGAAAUGCGUAGAUAUUAGGAGGAACACCAGUUGCGAAGGCGGCUCUCUGGACUGUAACUGACACUGAGGCAUGAAAGCGUGGGGAGCAAACAGGAUUA